RNAcentral lists this ribosomal RNA (375 nucleotides) under uncultured organism. RNAcentral describes it as "partial 16S ribosomal RNA". It matches the Rfam family "Bacterial small subunit ribosomal RNA", at positions 527 to 896 of the family's 1533-position model. The record is from RNAcentral.
GUAGGUGGCAAGCGUUGUCCGGAAUUAUUGGGCGUAAAGCGCGCGCAGGCGGUUCUUUAAGUCUGAUGUGAAAGCCCACGGCUCAACCGUGGAGGGUCAUUGGAAACUGGAGAACCUGAGUACAGAAGAGGAAAGCGGAAUUCCACGUGUAGCGGUGAAAUGCGUAGAGAUGUGGAGGAACACCAGUGGCGAAGGCGGCUUUCUGGUCUGUAACUGACGCUGAGGCGCGAAAGCGUGGGGAGCAAACAGGGAUUAGAUACCCUGGUAGUCCACGCCGUAAACGAUGAGUGCUAAGUGUUAGGGGGGUUUCCGCCCCCCUUAGUGCUGCAGCUAACGCAUUAAGCACUCCGCCUGGGGAGUACGGCCGCAAGGCUG